RNAcentral lists this ribosomal RNA (253 nucleotides) under uncultured bacterium. Its description in RNAcentral is "partial 16S ribosomal RNA". It matches the Rfam family "Archaeal small subunit ribosomal RNA", at positions 474 to 727 of the family's 1478-position model. The record is from RNAcentral.
UACCAGCACCCCGAGUGGUCGGGACGUUUAUUGGGCCUAAAGCAUCCGUAGCCGGUUCUACAAGUCUUCCGUUAAAUCCACCUGCUUAACAGAUGGGCUGCGGAGGAUACUACAAGACUAGGAGGCAGGAGAGGCAAGCGGUACUCAGUGGGUAGGGGUAAAAUCCGUUGAUCCAUUGAAGACCACCAGUGGCGAAGGCGGCUUGCCAGAAUGCGCUCGACGGUGAGGGAUGAAAGCUGGGGGAGCAAACCGG